Molecule: long non-coding RNA, 2265 nt
Filed under: Triticum aestivum (bread wheat)
Lineage: Eukaryota; Viridiplantae; Streptophyta; Magnoliopsida; Poales; Poaceae
Description: long non-coding RNA (TAES_LNC014628)
Source: RNAcentral
ACGGGUUACAAAAUGUAUAAUUUGACAAAAUAUAGACAGCACACAUCAACAACAGAUUCAUCGAAUACAAUAGAAGAUUAGUCUUUGAAUACAAUUCAUCAUAUUAGUCUCCGAAUACAAUUCAUCAUAUUAGUCUCCGAAUUGAAAAGACCGAAGAAAGAUAGAACAUUAUAUUACAAGUCUCGAGACCGCGAGUAGCGAGUUUGUCUUCACAUUACAAGUCGAUAUCGAUCAUCUAUGUUAGCUCAUCAUAGACUCCUUUCCCUUUGUUGAUUGUGGAUCAUAUGUUACUCUAUGUGUCCGGUGAUCUAGCACUCGUGUGAUUGAUUCUAUGUCGGUUUAGUGUUUCUCUCUUGUUUUCCCCGUGUUCCCCUUUGUGAUUUCCGCACGUUCCUCGUGUUCUCCCGUAGGAUCCCCUCCAAACGUGAAAGAUCGACCACUUAGGGUUCCGCCCUACAUCAAAGGACCAUGUGUGUAUGUAGAAAACACACACAAGAAACACUGAAUAUCACUAGUCACCCUGCACACAACAAGUUUCAGAUGUUCAGAACAGAUCAACAUGUUGAGCAGUUAGGGAAUCACGAGAAGGAAGUGGGAGGGUGGAUCAUGAUGGUCUCACCUUAUUGCCGUCGUCCUCAUCCAACCCCGGUGACUAAGUACACAUCCAAGAAAGUUCACGAAUCCAUGGGUGCUAGCUUGUCUACCAGCUCCAGCAGCAUUCUGCCCCUGGAUGCCACAAAACAACCUGACUUAUAAGCAUAGAUAGAGAAGAUUAAAAGAGAAACAACACACUAAUGCUACAAUGCCUCAUAGUAUAAUUUUACUAUAGCCAACAACACUUAAAGAAAUAAUAUCUAUAGAUGAUUCCAUACAAAGUAGAACAGUUUUACUACAAUGCACACAAGCUACUGGUGACUGGUUAUAUUGGUUCAUUGUCAUUAAAUUAAAAAAGAACAAAAGGAACAAACAAAGAGUACAAGAACAAACAAAGCUCAUUGUCUAAUUUCAUUUUAGCUAACAGGACAGAACUACCACAAUCCCCACUCAUACAGGAAGUCCACAAUGGUGGGAGCCGACUUUCCCUACAAUGUAAGCCAGCUACUGAAUAUAUUUAGGUGCAUCAUCUGACACUAUGGAUGGUCUAGUUGCAUAGCAGAUUACAAGUACAUUAAUAGCAAAUUACGAACUAAUGUACUUUGGUGGCCUCACGAUCCUUCUUGUUGCAACAAAGACAAUAUCCUGUGCAAGAGAAGCACAUUUAUCAAAUUUCAUUGUUUCAAAUUUUAACAUCAUUUUAGAGUACAAACAAACUCCUCUAGCUAAACAUGUCACAGUUUUUAUAGUGAUGAUCUUGGACAAAGUGCAAGGGGCUCAAGUAUAUAACCAAUAAGCUUGGAGGCAAAGAUUUAUAGUACAAGCAUGAAAAUUAGAACAACAGAUGAUUUUCUGCCCGCAAAUGAUUUCACUUGUUAUGUGACACUAUCAUACUAUAUUAAAAUGCAAUGACAGUCUACUCAAUACAAGCCUACGUUUGUAACGAUCCUGAACUUUUGAAUGCAUGCCAGCAGCAACUGACUCCAUUUGCUGGGAAACUUUCAGCCAUAUAUAACACAAUGCCAUACCAAAAUGCCUGUUCCUGCAAAACCACCAUGACAAAAGUAAGGGUAAUCAAUGGGUGGGAUACAUCUAAUCAGUAGCCAGGACAGAGCUACAUUUCAGCAGCACAAAAGACUUUUCUUGUGACCCACCACAGCAAGCUUGUUGUAAGCUGUAUAGGUCAAAAAGUAGACGCCCUAACAUCAUCGCAUCUAUCAUCAGUAGCAGAGUCGAAAUCAGGUCAACGAUGGGGAAGAUCAGGCACACACCUUUUCAAUGGGGAGCGUGAAGAGCGCGAUGCUGGCGGCCGUGAGCAGGACGGCACCCACAGCGAGGCGGAGGGCCGAGAGCCAUGAGAACGCCAUGGACGCGAGCAGCCUCUGCCGCCAGGGCCUGAGCCUGCAGUCCUCCCCCUCGCCGCCCUUGUUUGCGCCGUCCGCCCAGCCCCACCACCCUCCCCCACACCCACAGCCAAACCGCCGCUCCUGCCAGAUUCCCUAGAUUCACCUUCCUCCCCACCUUGGCCGCCCCUGCCUCCCGCGCUGCCUCACCUCGCCUCUCCUUGUCCUGCCGCAUCACCUCAUCCGACACCUGGUGCGUUGUGCUCGCUUGCGAGGAAGAGGGGUGGUGGUCGGAGGCGAGGACGGGUCCGGCGGCGGCGCUCCAACC